CCCAGCAAGGAGAAGGGGUGGAGGCUCGGAAGGAUAUGAGACCUCCCAUUGGCUGGGAGGGGGCGUGAUUAUAUUUGAACCCGCCCCCUGGGCCAGGCUGGAUAAAGCUGGAAGGAUCCUUGGAGAGCAUCAAGCCCGGCUCUCUCCGCUUACUGAUAAGAAGCAGGCCCAGAGUGGUCCGCAGACCACCGCUUGGCGACCCCUGCUCCACACUGUACUUGGCAUCGCAUCACUGCCCUGCUUAUCAAACCUCCCAGGGGUGAACCACUGGCCACGGGAUCAAGUCACAGCUUCUUAACAGGCAUUCCAGCCCAUCCAAGCCUGUUCCUCCUUCAAAGCCAAGUCCAAAUGCCAUCUCCUCAACGAUGUCUUCUUCCCUGACUGUCCCGACUUCUCACCUCAGGCAGGGUCAUCGCUGUUCCGUAACGAGGCCCCUCUUCUGGCUGCUCUUUCUAGGAAGAGCCAUAUUGCAGAAGGACCUGCCAGGAGGGGGCAGUACACAACCGAAGAAAGGUCUCCCAAAGGUCAAGGUCACCAGGGUGCCUGCAGCCCCUCACAGGCCCGUAGGUGUGCACCCCUCCAGUGUGGCUGUCUGUGGGAAUACGGGGUUCCACCUUGGCAGGCCCCCCUCCCUGUGCCUCCUUUGCAUCACUGUAAAAUCAGAGGGUUGGACCAGUUCAGUGUUUCUGGAAGUGUGGUGACGCACAAAGUAACAUCAGGAGAUAAAUAG
Eptesicus fuscus (big brown bat) is the source of this 730-nucleotide long non-coding RNA. RefSeq lists it as uncharacterized. The record is from RefSeq and is a predicted model, not a curated record. The transcript is spliced from 3 exons. NCBI's taxonomy places the organism in Eukaryota, Metazoa, Chordata, Mammalia, Chiroptera, Vespertilionidae.